UACGAGUACCCCAAGCGUUAUCCGGAAUCAUUGGGCGUAAAGGGUGUGUAGGCGGUAUGGUUAGUCUUCUGUCAAAAUCUCGGGCUCAACCCGAGACCUGCGGAGGAAACGGCCAAACUUGAGGGUGUGAGAGGUGAAUGGAACUCAUGGAGUAGGGGUGAAAUCCGUUGAUAUCAUGGGGAACACCGAAAGCGAAGGCAAUUCACUGGCGCAUUUCUGACGCUGAAACACGAAAGCGUGGGUAGCGAACGGG
RNAcentral lists this ribosomal RNA (253 nucleotides) under uncultured bacterium. Its description in RNAcentral is "partial 16S ribosomal RNA". It matches the Rfam family "Bacterial small subunit ribosomal RNA", at positions 524 to 776 of the family's 1533-position model. The record is from RNAcentral.